AUUGAACGCUGGCGGCAUGCCUUACACAUGCAAGUCGAACGGCAGCACGGGUGCUUGCACCUGGCGGCGAGUGGCGAACGGGUGAGUAAUGUAUCGGAACGUGCCCAGUAGCGGGGGAUAACUACUCGAAAGAGUAGCUAAUACCGCAUACGCCCUACGGGGGAAAGGGGGGGAUCGCAAGACCUCUCACUAUUGGAGCGGCCGAUAUCGGAUUAGCUAGUGGGUGAGGUAAAGGCUCACCAAGGCGACGAUCCGUAGCUGGUUUGAGAGGACGACCAGCCACACUGGGACUGAGACACGGCCCAGACUCCUACGGGAGGCAGCAGUGGGGAAUUUUGGACAAUGGGGGAAACCCUGAUCCAGCCAUUCCGCGUGUGCGAUGAAGGCCUACGGGUUGUAAAGCACUUUUGGCAGGAAAGAAAUCGCAUCAAUUAAUACUUGGUGUGGAUGACGGUACCUGCAGAAUAAGCACCGGCUAACUACGUGCCAGCAGCCGCCGUAA
This 502-nucleotide ribosomal RNA is filed under the name uncultured bacterium. Its description in RNAcentral is "partial 16S ribosomal RNA". It matches the Rfam family "Bacterial small subunit ribosomal RNA", at positions 30 to 523 of the family's 1533-position model. The record is from RNAcentral.